Molecule: small nucleolar RNA, 130 nt
Organism: Sorex fumeus (smoky shrew)
Lineage: Eukaryota; Metazoa; Chordata; Mammalia; Eulipotyphla; Soricidae
Product: small nucleolar RNA SNORA51
Exons: 1
Source: RefSeq, a predicted model, not a curated record
UGCCUUGUGGUGUUCCCUACAGGCUGUGUUCUUUACACUGGGUAUAUAGAAAGAAGAAGUAUAAUAAACCCACCUAUAUGCACUUCAGCCCAUGCCCUUUGACUGGUCUACAACAUGAGGGCAAACAUAA